This 354-nucleotide ribosomal RNA is filed under the name Triticum aestivum (bread wheat). Its description in RNAcentral is "partial small subunit ribosomal RNA". The record is from RNAcentral. Lineage: Eukaryota; Viridiplantae; Streptophyta; Magnoliopsida; Poales; Poaceae.
AUGAGAUCCCGUCUUGGAGGAGCCGUCGCGGCAGUAUGCAGAGACCAGGGAGGUUUUUACCUGGGUUCAUCAGCGCUUGUCUUUCAAGACAUUAUUGACCCACUGGCUUUGAAAACUUAUGCUUGCCGCGAAGCUCUGGCUCUAGCUGAAGACCUUGCGGUUUAGAAUAUUUGUGUGGCGUCGGACUGUCAAGAAGUGGUGAAUGAUAUUAAUCGGGGACUGGAUGCCCAAAUGCUGCGUUGGUACAUGAAAUAUCGAGUCAUUGUAAUAGUUUUAUUUCUUGUUCUUUUAUUCACAAGCGUAGGAACCAUAAUUAUGAGGCUCACAAUCUUGCCAAGUUUGCUAGUACGCUAG